Tupaia belangeri chinensis (Chinese tree shrew) is the source of this 2258-nucleotide RNA transcript. It is a transcript of the gene named solute carrier family 22 member 11, with no coding region annotated. Lineage: Eukaryota; Metazoa; Chordata; Mammalia; Scandentia; Tupaiidae. The record is from RefSeq and is a predicted model, not a curated record. The transcript is spliced from 12 exons.
CUGGAGAGCUGGGAAGGCAGAUCCACUCUACCUGGCCCUGACUUGGUGGGAGCGCAGAUGCCAAAGACCCGGGCAGCCUGGACGGGUUGGUUGCAGGCACAGUCCAGGUGCUCACCUGUUCACUGAACGCCAGAGACCUCCGAGCAUGGCAUUCGAGGAGCUCUUAGAGAAGGCCGGGGGCGCAGGCCUGUUCCAGACCCUCCAUGUCAUCACCAUCUGCUUCCCAUCCAUCUUCUUACCCGCCCACAUGCUUCUGGAGAACUUCUCCGCUGCCAUCCCAGGCCACCGCUGCUGGGUGCACAUGCUGGACAACAGUUCUGAGGUCCCCACAAACCUUACCCCCAAGGCCCUCCUGGCCGUCUCCAUCCCUCCAGGCCCCAACCAGGAGCCUGACCAGUGUCGCCGCUUCCGCCAACCGCAGUGGCAACUCCUGGACCCCAACGCCACAGCCACCAACUGGAGCGAGGCGGCCACGGAGCCAUGCGUGGAUGGCUGGGUCUACGACCACGGCACUUUCACCUCCACCAUCGUGACCAAGUGGGACCUGGUGUGCGACUCCCAGGGCCUGAAGCCCUUGGCCCAGUCCAUCUUCAUGUCCGGCGGCCUGGUGGGGACCUUCAUCUGGGGCCUCCUCUCCAACCGGUUUGGGCGGAGGCCGAUGGUGAUCUGGAGCCUCCUACAGGUGGCCGUGUCCGGCACAGUCACUAUCUUUGCCCCGAAUUUUGUCAUCUACUGUGGCCUCCGGUUUGCAAGUGCUUUUGGACUAGCUGGUUUCAUCAUGGCUUCAGUAACCCUGGUAAUGGAGUGGAUCGCAACCCGCAGGAGGACUGUCGCCAUGACGAUCCUGGGGUGUAUUUUCGGCACUGGCCAGCUGGUCCUGGCCGGCCUGGCCUUCGUCCUGCGUGACUGGCGAGCCCUCCAGCUGGCCGUGUCCGUGCCCUUCUUUGUCUUCUUCCUGAUAUUCUGGUGGAUGGCAGAAUCCGCCCGCUGGCUGAUUAUCAUGGGCAAACCAGACCAAGCACUUCUGGAGCUCCAAAAGGUGGCCAGGAUCAACGGCCACAAGGAAGCCAAAAAGACACUGACCAUAGAGGUGCUGACGACCUGCAUGGAGGAGGAGGUGGCCUCCUCGAAGGCUCAGCAGUCGGUGUGGGAGCUGUUCCGCCUGCCGGUGCUGCGGAGGAGGACCUCGGUCUUGGUGGUGGUGCACUUCUCCCUAAUGAUCUCCUACUACGGGAUGGUCCUGGACCUGCAGAGCCUGGGGAGGGACAUCUUCCUCCUCCAGGCCCUUUUCGGAGCUAUAGACUUACUGAGUCGGGCCGCCACCUCUCUCGUGUUCAGGUUCAUGGGCCGCCGCCUGACUAUGGCCGGCUUCCAGGCCCUCGCUGGCUGCUGCAUCCUGGCCAACUUGUUGGUGCCACAAGAUUUACAGACCCUGCGUGUGGCCUUCGCUGUGCUGGGCAGGGGAUGUUUUGGGAUAAACUUAACGUGCAUAACCCUCUACAUGGCUGAGCUCUUCCCAACGUCACUGCGGCUGAUGGCAAAUGGCUUCCUGACCUCAGUGGGCCGGCUGGGGGCUAUGAUGGGCCCGCUGCUCAGGAUGACCCGCCAGGCCAUGCCCCUGCUGCCUCCCCUCUCCUAUGGUAUCAUCCCCAUGGUUUCCAGCCUGGCUGUCCUGCUCUUCCUCCCGGAGACCAAGGGAUUGUCACUGCCGGACACCAUCCAGGACCUGGAGAGCCAAUCAGUAAAAGCGAGGGGCAACCAGCAAGAGGUGGUCAUUACAGAAAGCACCUGGCUCUAGAAGUCCUGCCUGCAUGGAGCCCCUUUGGCCAAAGACCAUGCCCCUCCCAGGGAAGGAGUUGCCUCUUCUCCAAUCAGAAGGUGGAGGCAAGCUGGACAACUGGAGGACUUGGAGUGGCAGGGGCUGGGCAGCAUGGCCGUCUGCUGUGGCUGCACACUCUGUUUUCCCAGCCAUGGUUCACAGCUGCAUGCCUUCACUCAGCCACUCCAGCUGGAGAUACAAGUUCUAAUCUCACCCCCACCACUUUUGGUCCUCAUCCAUGUAAUGCGAAUGCUCAUGGAUCCUACCUCCAUGGUAUCAGGGUUAAGUGAUCUUAACACAGGCCAGAGUUCAAUAAAUGGAACUGCUAACAGGUCACCAGGUACAGGUGUCACCAAAAUCCAAUCCCAGUGAUCCUGGCCCAGGCACCUACCCCAGCAGGGGCUGCGUUCGCUCCAAGAAAGAAGCUGCUUUUUGUUUU